Cylindrobasidium torrendii FP15055 ss-10 is the source of this 82-nucleotide transfer RNA. It matches the Rfam family "tRNA". Rfam says of the family: Transfer RNA (tRNA) molecules are approximately 80 nucleotides in length. Their secondary structure includes four short double-helical elements and three loops (D, anti-codon, and T loops). The record is from Rfam. Lineage: Eukaryota; Fungi; Basidiomycota; Agaricomycetes; Agaricales; Physalacriaceae.
CCGACCUUAGCUCAGUUGGAAGAGCGCGAGACUGUAAUUGGAUAUCAUCUUGAGGUCGCCUGUUCGAGCCAGGCAGGUCGGA